Molecule: unclassified non-coding RNA, 1860 nt
Filed under: Hevea brasiliensis (rubber tree)
Lineage: Eukaryota; Viridiplantae; Streptophyta; Magnoliopsida; Malpighiales; Euphorbiaceae
Source: RNAcentral
CUAAUAAUGGUGGUGGGUUCUCUGUCCCUCGUUAUUGUGCUGAGACUAUAUUUCCAAGGUUGGAUUAUAGUGCUGAGCCUCCUGUGCAGACCAUUCUUGCCAAGGAUGUGCAUGGUGAGACUUGGAAGUUUAGGCAUAUCUAUAGAGGAACUCCCAGACGCCAUUUGUUGACUACUGGUUGGAGUAAUUUUGUGAACCAGAAGAAACUUGUAGCGGGGGAUUCUAUUGUGUUUUUGAGGGCAGAAAAUGGGGAUCUUUGUGUGGGGAUUAGGCGUGCCAAGAGAGAGAUUGGUGGUGGAAAUGAGUAUCCAUCUGGGUGGAAUUCGUUUGGGGGUUAUUCUGGGUUUUUGAGGGGAGAUGAGAAUAAAUUGAUGAAAAGGAAUGGUAAUGGCGAUAUGAAGGGGAAAGUGAUGGCUGAGUCUGUUAUUCAGGCUGCAACUCUUGCAGCCAAUUGGCAGCCCUUUGAGGUUGUUUACUAUCCAAGAGCAAGCGCCCCAGAAUUUUGUGUUAGGGCCUCAGCUGUGAGGACUGCAAUGCAGAUUCAGUGGUGUCCAGGGAUGAGAUUCAAAAUGGCAUUUGAGACAGAGGAUUCAUCUAGGAUUAGCUGGUUCAUGGGAACUAUAUCCUCUGUUCAGGUUGCUGAUCCCAUCCGCUGGCCUAAUUCUCCAUGGAGACUUCUACAGGUAUCAUGGGAUGAGCCAGAUUUACUCCAAAAUGUAAAGCGUGUUAGCCCUUGGCUGGUUGAAUUGGUAUCGAACAUGCCCGCCAUUCAUCUCUCACCCUUCUCACCUCCAAGAAAAAAGUUGAGAUUUCCACAACCCCCAGAUUUUUCCUUAAUCAGCCAAUUUCCAGUGCCAUCAUUUACCGGCAACCCUCUCAGUUCGAACAGUCCCUUAUGCUGUGUCUCAGAUAACAUUCCUGCAGGCAUACAGGGAGCCAGGCAUGCUCAAUUUGAACUAUCUACAGCAGAUCACUUCAACAAACUGCGGUCGGGUCUGUUUCCAUUUGGUUUCCAGCAGCUCGAUCAAGCUGCACCAACUUCUAGAAUCCCCAGUCACAACUUCAUGGGCAUUAAUGAAAACAAUGAGAAAAUAUCUUGCUUGUUAACAGUUGGAAAUCCCACACUGAGCUCGAAGGAAAACAGUGAAACUAAGGCACAACAUAUUGUAUUGUUUGGUCAGCUCAUUCUCACAGACCAGCGGAGUUCUCAAAGCUUUUCUGGUGAUACAAAUGGAAAUAGUUCAUCGGAUGGAAAUCCAGAGAAGACAGCAAAUCUUUCUGAUGGUUCUGUUUCUGUAUUUCAGCAGAAUGGUCUGCAGGAAAAUUCUUCAGAUGACGGGUCUCCCUGGUACAAAGAUCACCAGAAAACUAAUCUUGGCUUGGAGACUGGUCAUUGCAAGGUGUUUUUGGAAUCAGAAGAUGUGGGUCGAACUCUUGACCUCUCAGUCAUUGGCUCAUAUGAAGAACUGUAUGGAAAGUUGGCAAACAUGUUUGGCAUCGAGAAUUCAGAUAUGCCAAGCUGUGUGCUUUACCGAGACAUGGCUGGUGCCACAAAACACACAGGAGAUGAGCCCUUUAGUGAGUUUUUGAAGACAGCAAGGAGGUUAACCAUUCUUACAGAUUCAGGCAGCGACAACAUAGGAAGAUAAAGAACUGAGGAACUUCUAUUAAAAUGUACAGUUUGUGAACCCUUUCUUUUACUUGUAACUUUCAACUUAUUUUGUUACUUGGGAGCUGUGGGAGAAGCCUACUUCAUCCAAUUUUGGAAUAUUGUAGUUCACUUCCUUUUGUUGAACAGCUUAACUUGCUUUCUCAUGAAAUGAGUUUUAAUAUUUAUAUCAAUUGGUGAAGCCUGAUCUC